This 228-nucleotide unclassified non-coding RNA is filed under the name rhizosphere metagenome. RNAcentral describes it as "partial ribosomal RNA internal transcribed spacer region". The record is from RNAcentral.
GUAGGUGAACCUGCGGAAGGAUCAUUAACAAAAUCAUGAAGAUUAGUGGUCAAACACUAAUUUUUAACCAAUGUGAAUUGGAUAGUAUUUUACUAUCUUUUUUAAUAACAGUAAUAGAGCUAAGAAAUUAGUAAACUACUACUGUUAUUAUAUUAACGAGUUUUAUUAGAGUCUGAUUAAAAAUAAUUAAAUUAUAAACAACUUUUAACAAUGGAUCUCUUGGCUCUU